This 425-nucleotide ribosomal RNA is filed under the name uncultured bacterium. Its description in RNAcentral is "partial 16S ribosomal RNA". It matches the Rfam family "Bacterial small subunit ribosomal RNA", at positions 354 to 796 of the family's 1533-position model. The record is from RNAcentral.
GUGGGGAAUCUUGCGCAAUGGGCGAAAGCCUGACGCAGCCAUGCCGCGUGAAUGAUGAAGGUCUUAGGAUUGUAAAAUUCUUUCACCGGGGACGAUAAUGACGGUACCCGGAGAAGAAGCUCCGGCUAACAUCGUGCCAGCAGCCGCGGUAAUACGAAGGGGGCUAGCGUUGCUCGGAAUUACUGGGCGUAAAGGGCGCGUAGGCGGACAGCUUAGUCAGAGGUGAAAGCCCAGGGCUCAACCUUGGAAUUGCCUUUGAUACUGGCUGUCUUGAGUUUGGGAGAGGUGAGUGGAACUCCGAGUGUAGAGGUGAAAUUCGUAGAUAUUCGGAAGAACACCAGUGGCGAAGGCGACAUACUGGCUCAUUACUGACGCUGAGGCGCGAAAGCGUGGGGAGCAAACAGGAUUAGAUACCCUGGUAGUCC